RNAcentral lists this long non-coding RNA (689 nucleotides) under Rattus norvegicus (Norway rat). Its description in RNAcentral is "long non-coding RNA NONRATT014595". Lineage: Eukaryota; Metazoa; Chordata; Mammalia; Rodentia; Muridae. The record is from RNAcentral.
CUGGUCCCAAACUGUUCAUCUCAAUGCUUGACUAGUAGUUCUCAGGCUCAGGCCUGUUUGUUAUUGUCUGUGUGUCUUACCCUCUGAGACAGCAAUGGUGCAUGCAUUUCUCCUGGUUCUCACAGUGCUCUCUGUUUCCAUAUUUGUCUUUCUCUUUCUCUGACUCUGUUUGCUUUUCUCUUUUUUGUGGGUGUGUCUCAGUCUGUAAGUCUGUGUGUGCAUACAUCCAAAUGCAUAUGCACAACUUUUAUAUGUUUAUAUUUCCCUCCACACUUGGAAUCUAGGGGUCUAUGUCUUGGCCUGAGUAUUUACCUGUAACACUUUCAUGGUCAUGUGAAUGCUUUGUUCUGGGAGCCCCACUGUCAACAGCACAGUUCUUUGUCUAUGUGGCCACGUUUGUCUGUACAUUUGUAUUCCUUGUGCAGAUUAUAAUUUUGUGUUUAUAUAUGGUCUGUUAUCAGGACAGGAAAAAAGAAAUCACCGGUUUCUGGGUGUGUUGGGGGUGGGGGAGCAGGGAGAGGUGUGGCCUAGGCUCUUGAUAGCUCAACUGGCUUGACUGCAGAUUUCCUCUUGAUUGAACAAAGGGAGCCAGGGAACCCUCCAUCUGGAUGCUGAGAUUCUGGUGUCCUGGACGCAGAAAAACACGUUUCUGAAGCUGAAGAAGAUCCAUUAUGUAGAAUUCAGAAGGU